AGAAAUUUAGUGUAAUGGUAGCACACUUAAUCUUUAAAUAAGAAGUUAAAGUUAAAAUUUA
This 61-nucleotide transfer RNA is filed under the name Phellinotus piptadeniae. RNAcentral's name for it is "tRNA-Lys". Lineage: Eukaryota; Fungi; Basidiomycota; Agaricomycetes; Hymenochaetales; Hymenochaetaceae. The record is from RNAcentral.